UACGGGGGGGGCAAGCGUUGUUCGGAAUUACUGGGCGUAAAGGGCGCGUAGGCGGUUGGAUAAGUCAGCUGUGAAAACCACGGGCUUAACUCGUGGCCUGCAGUUGAGACUGUCUGGCUUGAGUGUGGGAGAGGAGAGUGGAAUUCCUGGUGUAGCGGUGAAAUGCGUAGAUAUCAAGCAGAACACCUGCGGCGAAGGCGGCCUUCUGGACGAUGACUGACGCUGAGACGCGAAAGCGUGGGGAGCAAACAGG
This 253-nucleotide ribosomal RNA is filed under the name uncultured bacterium. RNAcentral's name for it is "partial 16S ribosomal RNA". It matches the Rfam family "Bacterial small subunit ribosomal RNA", at positions 524 to 776 of the family's 1533-position model. The record is from RNAcentral.